GUGCGGUCCCCUGCCCCGCACGGCGGCAGGACGCGUCUUUGGGGGUGGCUCUGAGAGCCGGCGUGUCCUCUGGGCUAAGAGAGGUGCGGAGGCCAGAGGGGGGUUGUGUGAAUGUAGAGGGGCACGGGGGUGUCUGGAAGUGUUUCCGCGCUUGUCCUUCCUGGCCUGAGUGUUGAAGGGCAGCGGUAGCAAACGCACCUACCCGGGGCAGUGCCGAGUGAGUGCGGGUGUGUGUGUGCGCCGCGGGGUGCCCGAGCACCGGCAGUGCCAGGAUCCCCGGCGCGUUUCUGCUUGUGAAAUCGAUACGACUUUUGCUCGUCCGCACCGCCGUCGUUGUGACCCGAAAAGCGAAGAGCGAACUGAACGCACAUAGCGGUGCGGGAGCUGUUACGUGAUCUGAGGGACUGCAUGCCCGCCUAUGGAGAACGGGUGCCCGAAGCCUGUCAAACCCAGGGAACCGCGAGACGCAGGAAACGCCGCAAGAAAAAGCUGCACCGACGGGUGUGAGCCGCCUGGUCGGCCCUUGUAGCGCAGAGCGUCGCCGAGCGAGGGCGGGUAGGAGCCCCGGCAGCGCGACCGCCUGGUCAUCGCCCUGACCGCGGCCGGUGCAUCGCAGGUGAACGUCAACGGGAAACAAACGAAAAGUUUAUUAUAAUGCUUUCUCCCAAGGCUUGAGAAGCAACCUCAAUUAGAAGGUCUACAGUGGAGGAAGACUUUCAUCCCUGCCUUUAAAUAUGGCUUGAAACAGCAGGAAAAGCAGUUUUUGUUAUUGUUUUUUGUUUGUUUGUUUGUUUGUUUUAUCUGUGUGUGUGUAUGGAUUUUCCAGAGUAACCUAAUGCACUGUGCUGCCAUAAGGCUUAAACAGGGCUGACAGAGUGGGAUUAUGGUCAUUUUAUACAGACUAAUGAGUUAUUUUUGCAUGUAUGGAGGUCUCUGCUUUCUAUCAAAGUCCAGACUGGGUAGAGGUCUAAGACUGAGUCCCUUCUUGUUAACUGCAAGCUUAUCCUUCCUCCUUCUAAAAAAUGCAUGGAUUUAGAUCUUAGGUAUUCAUGAAAUUGAUUAGAGUAUUAGGUCACAUAAGUAUCCAGAGAAACAUUUCAAAUGCUGCUGCUCUUGCAUUCUUAAAUCACACUGAUUGUAACACUUGGGUAUCAUCUCAGUUACUGCUUCUGCAAAGAUUACCUCAGAUAUGCUAAACAAAACAAAACAAACAAACGCUUUCUUAAAUUUGAGUAGCAAUGCCUUACAAAACUUGGCAAGAAUGAUUGCUGUGUAAGCUGGUAAAGAACUAUUCUGUAUGAUCCAGUAUUCAGGUAUGAUUAAUGCACUUUAAGUUCAUACUGGACUGCUUGUGAUUUUACAGGGUUCAUUAAGUAACAGGGAGGGACAAAAAUGCUGUACCACUAAUUUUAACUUUGGUACCCAGCACUUACUUUCUUGAUAGUGUUCCUGACGUUGCUAAUGUUAAUUCCAAAACUAUAGCUUAGGAAGCUAUAUCUAUCUACACAGCAAAAUACAGAACAAAAAAAA
This is a non-coding RNA of Coturnix japonica (Japanese quail), 1530 nucleotides long. Lineage: Eukaryota; Metazoa; Chordata; Aves; Galliformes; Phasianidae. The record is from RefSeq and is a predicted model, not a curated record.